GACGAACGCUGGCGGCGUGCUUAACACAUGCAAGUCGAACGGAAAGGCCCUGCUUUUGUGGGGUGCUCGAGUGGCGAACGGGUGAGUAACACGUGAGUAACCUGCCCUUGACUUUGGGAUAACUUCAGGAAACUGGGGCUAAUACCGGAUAGGAGCUCCUGCUGCAUGGUGGGGGUUGGAAAGUUUCGGCGGUUGGGGAUGGACUCGCGGCUUAUCAGCUUGUUGGUGGGGUAGUGGCUUACCAAGGCUUUGACGGGUAGCCGGCCUGAGAGGGUGACCGGCCACAUUGGGACUGAGAUACGGCCCAGACUCCUACGGGAGGCAGCAGUGGGGAAUAUUGCACAAUGGGCGGAAGCCUGAUGCAGCAACGCCGCGUGCGGGAUGACGGCCUUCGGGUUGUAAACCGCUUUCGCCUGUGACGAAGCGUGAGUGACGGUAAUGGGUAAAGAAGCACCGGCUAACUACGUGCCAGCAGCCGCGGUGAUACGUAGGGUGCGAGCGUUGUCCGGAUUUAUUGGGCGUAAAGGGCUCGUAGGUGGUUGAUCGCGUCGGAAGUGUAAUCUCGGGGCUUAACCCUGAGCGUGCUUUCGAUACGGGUUGACUUGAGGAAGGUAGGGGAGAAUGGAAUUCCUGGUGGAGCGGUGGAAUGCGCAGAUAUCAGGAGGAACACCAGUGGCGAAGGCGGUUCUCUGGGCCUUUCCUGACGCUGAGGAGCGAAAGCGUGGGGAGCGAACAGGCUUAGAUACCCUGGUAGUCCACGCUGUAAACGGUGGGUACUAGGUGUGGGGUCCAUUCCACGGGUUCCGUGCCGUAGCUAACGCUUUAAGUACCCCGCCUGGGGAGUACGGCCGCAAGGCUAAAACUCAAAGGAAUUGACGGGGCCCCGCACAAGCGGCGGAGCAUGCGGAUUAAUUCGAUGCAACGCGUAGAACCUUACCUGGGUUUGACAUGGAUCGGGAGUGCUCAGAGAUGGGUGUGCCUCUUUUGGGGUCGGUUCACAGGUGGUGCAUGGCUGUCGUCAGCUCGUGUCGUGAGAUGUUGGGUUAAGUCCCGCAACGAGCGCAACCCUUGUUCACUGUUGCCAGCACGUUAUGGUGGGGACUCAGUGGAGACCGCCGGGGUCAACUCGGAGGAAGGUGGGGAUGACGUCAAGUCAUCAUGCCCCUUAUGUCCAGGGCUUCACGCAUGCUACAAUGGCUGGUACAGAGAGUGGCGAGCCUGUGAGGGUGAGCGAAUCUCGGAAAGCCGGUCUCAGUUCGGAUUGGGGUCUGCAACUCGACCUCAUGAAGUCGGAGUCGCUAGUAAUCGCAGAUCAGCAACGCUGCGGUGAAAACGUUCCCGGGGCU
Molecule: ribosomal RNA, 1346 nt
Filed under: uncultured bacterium
Lineage: Bacteria
Description: partial 16S ribosomal RNA
Rfam family: Bacterial small subunit ribosomal RNA
Source: RNAcentral